GAUGAACGCUGGCGGCGUGCUUAAUACAUGCAAGUCGAGCGAACAGACGAGGAGUUUGCUCCUCUGUCGUUUGCGGCGGACGGGUGUGUAACACGUGGAUAAUCUACCUAUCAGACGGGGAUAACUUCGGGACACCGGAUCUAAUAGCGGAUAAUCUAUUGUACCGGAUGGUUCAAUAGUGAAAUUCGGUUUUGCUGUCACUUAUAGACGGAUCCGCGGCGGAUUAGCUAGUUGGUAUGGUAACGGCUUACCAAGGCAACGAUGGGUAGCCGACCUGAGAGGGUGAUCGGCCACACUGGAAGUGAGACACGGUACAGACUCCUACGGGAGGCAGCAGUAGGGAAUCGUGGGCAAUGGGCGGAAGCCUGACGGAGCAACGGCGCGUGAGUGAUGAAGGUCUUCGGAUCGUAAAACUCUGUUAUUAGGGAAGAACAAAUGUGUAAGUAACGAUGCACGUCUUGACGGUACCUAAUCAGAAAGCCACGGCUAACUACGUG
Molecule: ribosomal RNA, 497 nt
Filed under: uncultured bacterium
Lineage: Bacteria
Description: partial 16S ribosomal RNA
Rfam family: Bacterial small subunit ribosomal RNA
Source: RNAcentral